This 1311-nucleotide ribosomal RNA is filed under the name Triticum aestivum (bread wheat). Its description in RNAcentral is "partial small subunit ribosomal RNA". The record is from RNAcentral. Lineage: Eukaryota; Viridiplantae; Streptophyta; Magnoliopsida; Poales; Poaceae.
AUGUACCAAGCCAAACCACUACUUGCAUACCGGAGAAACUUACAUGAUGUUGCUAAGAAGUAUGAUUACAUCAUUGUUAUCGCUCUAUUUAUGCCAUCACUUCAUGGUUUUUGGACUAUACACUUCAUGUUAGCCUCUUCAGAGCAUUGCCAUCACUUCAUGCAGGGCCCAGUGGUGCUAGAGGAGGCGUCGUUCUACUACAAAGCUCCGGUCAACAAGAACUUCUCCAAGAAAGUAUGUUUCAUGAGCUAUCAGAGAAGAAGGCCUAACCUCGCCAAACUUUGCUACACUUCACAUCAUGAGGGAACAAAGAUGCGUCCAUCGCAACACUCAAGCAAAUCAGAUGACAAGGAGAGGAAGGAGGUACGUUUCCCCCCUGUUCUUCUUGAAGGUGGUUCUCCACCUACCAUGCUGUCCAAAGAUGAGCCUUCUCUGGUGGUGAGACACAUCUCUGAGAUGAUUGACCUUAACGAAUUGCCAGAUGACCUUAAUUAUGACUUGCCACCAAAUAUUGGAGUGGACAAUGUUGAACCCAUGUACUGCACACAACCUUCUGCGCAAAGGGCCCCGCCACUGAAGAAUGUCAAUGAAUUUGUGGCUGAAUCUCCAAACACUCCUAUUGCGCAGAAUGUUGCCGACUCUGGAAUGCAAGAAAUGCUCACAGAAGAGCACACACUUGAUGACACAGACAGUUUGGGAGCAACAGGGGGGACUGCUACGCGCGAGGGUGCAGGGGGAGAUGCUAAUAAUGAUGAUGAAGCAUGGUCUCAGCCAAAGGAGCCUUCAUUGGGUACAAGGUUUGACACUUUGCUAGGUGCAAGAGAACAAUAUAAUGCUUAUGCUCAUCAUUUGGGUUUUCCAAUCAAGAUGAAUACUUCCAUAAGGUCUACUAUUACUGGCGAAAUAGAUAAGUACCAGUUUGUUUGCAACAAGUUUCGGAAACCCAAGAAAGAUGACCACGGUACUGUGACUACACCUAACGUUGAAAUGCUAGAAGAUCCUUGUGAAGAUGGGAAUGAUGAGGAGGAGGAAGACAAUGCCAUUGUGUUUGCUGAUGAUGCUAUUGAGAAAAAGAAGAAAGGGAAGAAAAGGAAAAGAGAAAAGAUAAUACAGGCUGGCUGCAAAGCCAAGAUGAUAGUAAAAUUCAUUGAUGGUCGUUGGGAAGUCACUUAUUUCAUUGCUGAGCAUAACCAUCCAUUGAUUGACAAACCUUCCUUGACUAAAUAUUUACGAUCACCCCAAGGCAUCCCCCCAGAAGUGAAGUUGUUUCUAAAGAACCUUCAUAACUGCAACUUAACUAUAGGUGAAUGA